RNAcentral lists this ribosomal RNA (253 nucleotides) under uncultured bacterium. Its description in RNAcentral is "partial 16S ribosomal RNA". It matches the Rfam family "Bacterial small subunit ribosomal RNA", at positions 524 to 776 of the family's 1533-position model. The record is from RNAcentral.
UACGGAGGGUGCUAGCGUUGUUCGGAAUUACUGGGCGUAAAGCGCACGUAGGCGGGUUGUUAAGUCAGGGGUGAAAUCCUGGAGCUCAACUCCAGAACUGCCUUUGAUACUGGCAACCUAGUGACUGGAAGAGGUUAGUGGAAUUCCCAGUGUAGAGGUGAAAUUCGUAGAUAUUGGGAAGAACACCAGUGGCGAAGGCGGCUAACUGGUCCAGCACUGACGCUGAGGUGCGAAAGCGUGGGGAGCAAACAGG